Molecule: long non-coding RNA, 875 nt
Organism: Pygocentrus nattereri (red-bellied piranha)
Lineage: Eukaryota; Metazoa; Chordata; Actinopteri; Characiformes; Serrasalmidae
Source: Ensembl
ACAACACUAAGCACAGCAUUUCCCUUUAAAUCAACUGCUAUUCUUUCCAGCACCAGUUUCAUUCUCUGGCCAUAACCCUCAUUUGCAGGAUGAAAUGUGUUGCACUGCCUUUAAAAUGGUACAAAAGCUCGGCCUGUGUAGGCCUCGUGCUUUGGGUGGCCGUUUGCUGCCCCUUUUAAACGUUCGCUUAGGGGUCCCCAGUUCAGUCUGAAUGAGCUGAAUCCCACAAACAAGGGACAAAGAAUUGGGGCGACGGAUGGGUAGGGGGCGUUUCCAGGGUAACCCAUCUAAAGCCCGCUAAAGUCACAUGGUCCACAGCUAUUGUCUGCUCGACCUUGCACACUCUGUCUUAUUUUGGGAUAGCCACUGGCACCAUGAGUGCCAGCCUGAGCACUGCGAGUAUUGGCCCCUCUCUAAACGGAACGACCGGGCAGGACGCCGAGACCAGAGCUGCUAUCCAUGAAUUCAGAGUGUUCAACAUGGUUAUCCUGUCCCUGGCCGUGUGUGUCCUCACGAUCACGGCGGUCAUAUGCUGCGUGUCCUACUACAGCCGCAGGAGGUGGUGUAAGCGUACAGGUGCGAAUGAGUGCACUGGGGGCGGGGACUCUGGAGCAGAGCUAGUGGAUAUGAAGGUCACAAAGAAGAGACGGAGCUUCCGGAACCCUCUGGCACUGCUCCGGAGACAGGAGUCGACCAGAGUCAACUCCCGCAUCUACUACAUUUACAGCAACCCUCUACCUGUCGGACACCCAGAGGACGAACCAUCGACACCUGAAACACCCGACACUCUCACUCCUCUCACACUGCGGGACUGUGCCAAGGACCCCGAGAGUGGUAUAGUCCUGGACCCACCCAUAUUCUACAUGCAGCUGUAG